GUAGGUGGCAAGCGUUGUCCGGAAUUAUUGGGCGUAAAGCGCGCGCAGGUGGUUCUUUAAGUCUGAUGUGAAAGCCCCCCGGGCUCAACCGGGGAGGGUCAUUGGAAACUGGGGAACUUGAGUGCAGGAGAGGAAAGUGGAAUUCCACGUGUAGCGGUGAAAUGCGUAGAUAUGUGGAGGAACACCAGUGGCGAAGGCGACUUUCUGGCCUGUAACUGACACUGAGGCGCAAAAGCGUGGGGAGCAAACAGGAUUAGAUACCCUGGUAGUCCACGCCGUAAACGAUGAGUGCUAAGUGUUGGGGGGUUUCCGCCCCUCAGUGCUGCAGCUAACGCAUUAAGCACUCCGCCUGGGGAGUACGGUCGCAAAGACUG
RNAcentral lists this ribosomal RNA (374 nucleotides) under uncultured organism. RNAcentral describes it as "partial 16S ribosomal RNA". It matches the Rfam family "Bacterial small subunit ribosomal RNA", at positions 527 to 896 of the family's 1533-position model. The record is from RNAcentral.